This 608-nucleotide ribosomal RNA is filed under the name Eumolpianus cf. cyrturus/eumolpi F465. RNAcentral describes it as "eukaryotic LSU rRNA". It matches the Rfam family "Eukaryotic large subunit ribosomal RNA", at positions 560 to 921 of the family's 3401-position model. The record is from RNAcentral. Lineage: Eukaryota; Metazoa; Arthropoda; Insecta; Siphonaptera; Ceratophyllidae.
GGGGAGAUUCAGUGUGCGAUUGACCGGGAUUCGUCCUGUGAUACGCCUUGGUGGCGAGGGCAUGCACUUCUCCCCUAGUAGGACGUCGCGACCCGUUGGGUGUCGGUCUACGGCGUAGCCUGAAGUGAAUUGUCAGACCCUGCGUGUUCUGGCCGACUGCCCGACGGUAUAGCGUUCGGCCGGUCGCAAGCGUGUGCGGUUCUUUUGGCUGUCGGACCUGGUCCGGCACCGAUCCCGCUCGUGCUGUUGGUGACCGUGUCCUCGGACAGACUCUACAGGUCAGCGAUGCUAUUGCUUUGGGUACUUUCAGGACCCGUCUUGAAACACGGACCAAGGAGUCUAGCAUGUGCGCAAGUCAUUGGGAAUUACAAAACCUAAAGGCGUAAUGAAAGUGAAGGUUCGCUUAUGUGGACUGAGGGAUGAUGGUUCGGUGCAAACUCGCAAUCCCGGGGCGUCUUACUCUCAUUGAGAAGAGGCGCACCAAGAGCGUACACGCUGGGACCCGAAAGAUGGUGAACUAUGCCUGGUCAGGUCGAAGUCAGGGGAAACCCUGAUGGAGGACCGUAGCGAUUCUGACGUGCAAAUCGAUCGUCGGAACUGGGUAUAGC